AUACCAUGAUGAGGACACUACCUGAUGAGAUCCUUGAACCUCUCCCAAGCUUCAUGGAGAGAUUCACUAUCCUACUGACAGAAAUUAUUAAUUUCUCCUCGCAGCUU
This is a small nucleolar RNA of Cannabis sativa, 107 nucleotides long. Lineage: Eukaryota; Viridiplantae; Streptophyta; Magnoliopsida; Rosales; Cannabaceae. The record is from RefSeq and is a predicted model, not a curated record.